UAUGUGAUCGUCUCUCGCAUAUCAAUAAGCGGAGGAAAAGAAACUAACAAGGAUUCCCCUAGUAACGACGAGUGAAGCGGGAAGAGCUCAAAUUUGAAAGUCUUAAAGGGUUUCCCUUUACGAAUUGUAGUUUAAAGAAGUGUUUUCUGUUGAGGUUUUGGUAAAAGUUCUUUGGAAUAGGACAUCAUAGAGGGUGAGAAUCCCGUAUUUGACCUUUACUUUCAACUUUGUGAUACACUUUCAAAGAGUCGGAUUGUUUGGGAAUGCAGUCCAAAAUGGGUGGUAAAUUUCAUCUAAAGCUAAAUAUUGGCGAGAGACCGAUAGCGAACAAGUACCGUGAGGGAAAGAUGAAAAGAACUUUGAAAAGAGAGUUAAACAGUACGUGAAAUUGUCAAAAGGGAAGCGUUUGACACCAGUGUUGUUUUUCUGAAAAUCAAUUAAAGAACUGUUUAUGCUAAGUUGUUUAGACUUUAUCAGCUAUCUGUUAGUUUUGAGCUUUUCUUUAAUGCACUUUUCAGUUAACAAGUCAACAUCAAUUUCUUUUGCUGUAAAAAAGCUUGAGGAAGGUGGCUUGAGAUUCGUCUUAAGUGUUUAUAGCCUCUUGCCUAUGCAGUCGGAGAGAUUGAGGUCUGCAGCGUAGGAUCCUUCGGGGCUAAAUGCAUUUGUGCUAAGUUAUAGCAUUUUAUAGACAACUUGUUGACUAUGAUUUGUCUUGUAGCUUACUCGCUUAUGUUAUUUUACCUACGCUUAGGAUGUUGAUCUACAGAGCGAGAG
RNAcentral lists this ribosomal RNA (774 nucleotides) under uncultured Neocallimastigales. RNAcentral describes it as "partial large subunit ribosomal RNA". It matches the Rfam family "Eukaryotic large subunit ribosomal RNA", at positions 24 to 635 of the family's 3401-position model. Lineage: Eukaryota; Fungi; Neocallimastigomycota; Neocallimastigomycetes; Neocallimastigales. The record is from RNAcentral.